RNAcentral lists this ribosomal RNA (369 nucleotides) under Triticum aestivum (bread wheat). RNAcentral's name for it is "partial small subunit ribosomal RNA". The record is from RNAcentral. Lineage: Eukaryota; Viridiplantae; Streptophyta; Magnoliopsida; Poales; Poaceae.
AUGGCUUCGUUCCAGCAAAAACAACGCUGCAGUCCGGCACCAUCGAUUUUGCCGUUGCAGCAAAAUGCUUCACCGACUCCAGCAAUUGGAUCCGCUGGUUCCAGCAAACAAGCACAACACAGGUCCCAGCACCCUUCGACACCGAUUCCAGCAAAACAGACAGGUGGUUCCAGCAAAAAAACACCGAGAGCAGGAUGUCACCGGUUUGAAACAAAAAAAAACAUGGUUCCAGCAGAAAAGCGAUAUGCCAGCAGAAAAGCGAUAUGGUUCCAGCAAAAACUAAAAAUUGUUUCUAGUAAACAAUGUUUUGAUCCAGCAAAAACUAAACAUGGUUUCAACAAAUUUUUGAUACGGUUCCAGAAAAAUUGA